UACUGCCUGGACUACUCCGUCUCUUGUUUGUUUGUUUGCUCAUUAACAGUAAGAGGUCAUGUACACUGUGGUCAACUUUGUGGAUGCUGAAGAGGUUUCUGGGUAAAGAUGAUAGAAAUAUAAUGAAGUAACAGUGAAAGCUAAAACAUCAGACUGAUCCAGACACUGAAGAAAUUGAUGUCACUGCAAUCUGGCCAAAAUGAUACAACAAUAUUGAAGUAGCCUACUGUAAUGAAGCUGCAGAACAACACAGAGACUCUGAGGACAUCAACACAGAAAAUGAAGGUUCCAAAGAGAUGUCUGUCCAGAUGAGGGUGCAUCAACUUUACCUUUGCUGACAACAGUUAACUUAACUCAAACCAUUUAAGGAAAUCGGUUGCCUUAAACCAUUAAGUUUUAA
Long non-coding RNA from Paramisgurnus dabryanus, 400 nucleotides. RefSeq lists it as uncharacterized. Lineage: Eukaryota; Metazoa; Chordata; Actinopteri; Cypriniformes; Cobitidae. The record is from RefSeq and is a predicted model, not a curated record.